Molecule: long non-coding RNA, 379 nt
Organism: Clupea harengus (Atlantic herring)
Lineage: Eukaryota; Metazoa; Chordata; Actinopteri; Clupeiformes; Clupeidae
Source: Ensembl
GAUCAAUCGAGUUAAUUGUUACUGGAGCUACGAGCGAGCGAAAUGUUGUGUUGCCCUUGUUUCCCCUUUAGGAAGCGCAAGAAAGUCCGUCCAGAGCCAGUGCCAGAGGCGGCGAUUCCCAGACCUCAGAGGGUCCGCCCCAUCCUCAGGAGGCUGAGGAAGUUCCUGAAAAAGGAACAAGCCCUUGUGGCAGAGGACUCUGUACGGGAGGCCCAGACAACAGGGUCAGAGGUCACCCCUCACAUCCCCUCAGAGGUCUCAGACACUCUUAUCACACCUAGUCCAAAUGCCCUUCAAGAGACUGCGAAGGAGGAGACUAAGGUGAUCAAGGCCAUCCUCCAUGAGGACCCUGUUAAAAUGGAGGACCUCGAAAGAGAGG